Molecule: ribosomal RNA, 497 nt
Filed under: uncultured bacterium
Lineage: Bacteria
Description: partial 16S ribosomal RNA
Rfam family: Bacterial small subunit ribosomal RNA
Source: RNAcentral
GACGAACGCUGGCGGCGUGCCUAAUACAUGCAAGUAGAACGCUGAAGAGAGGAGCUUGCUCUUCUUGGAUGAGUUGCGAACGGGUGAGUAACGCGUAGGUAACCUGCCUUGUAGCGGGGGAUAACUAUGGGAAACGAUAGCUAAUACCGCAUAACAAUGGAUGACACAUGUCAUUUAUUUGAAAGGGGCAAUUGCUCCACUACAAGAUGGACCUGCGUUGUAUUAGCUAGUAGGUGAGGUAAUGGCUCACCUAGGCGACGAUACAUAGCCGACCUGAGAGGGUGAUCGGCCACACUGGGACUGAGACACGGCCCAGACUCCUACGGGAGGCAGCAGUAGGGAAUCUUCGGCAAUGGGGGCAACCCUGACCGAGCAACGCCGCGUGAGUGAAGAAGGUUUUCGGACCGUAAAGCUCUGUUGUAAGUCAAGAACGGGUGUGAGAGUGGAAAGUUCGCACUGUGACGGUAGCUUACCAGAAAGGGACGGCUAACUACGUG